RNAcentral lists this unclassified non-coding RNA (219 nucleotides) under Hevea brasiliensis (rubber tree). The record is from RNAcentral. Lineage: Eukaryota; Viridiplantae; Streptophyta; Magnoliopsida; Malpighiales; Euphorbiaceae.
AGCUCUUCCUCUUGCCCACCACCAUCACCAAAACCAAAAGGCCCUUCACCUCAACCGAGUAACCCAUCGCCAAAGCCAAAAACCCCGGCACCAAGCAACCCAUCGCCAAAGCCAAAACUCCCUUCACCUCAACCAAGCAACCCAUCACCUAAACCAAGCAACCCAUCGCCUCCACCAUCAAACGGUGCUUGCCCUAGGGACACAUUAAAGCUUGGUGUA